AGCGAACGCUGGCGGCAGGCUUAACACAUGCAAGUCGAGCGGGCCCUUCGGGGUCAGCGGCAGACGGGUGAGUAACACGUGGGAACGUACCCUUUGGUUCGGAAUAACGCUGGGAAACUAGCGCUAAUACCGGAUACGCCCGUUUGGGGAAAGGCUUGCUGCCGAAGGAUCGGCCCGCGUCUGAUUAGCUAGUUGGUGGGGUAAUGGCCUACCAAGGCGACGAUCAGUAGCUGGUCUGAGAGGAUGAUCAGCCACACUGGGACUGAGACACGGCCCAGACUCCUACGGGAGGCAGCAGUGGGGAAUAUUGGACAAGGGGCGCAAGCCUGAUCCAGCCAUGCCGCGUGAGUGAUGAAGGCCUUAGGGUUGUAAAGCUCUUUUGUCCGGGACGAUAAUGACGGUACCGGAAGAAUAAGCCCCGGCUAACUUCGUG
RNAcentral lists this ribosomal RNA (433 nucleotides) under uncultured bacterium. Its description in RNAcentral is "partial 16S ribosomal RNA". It matches the Rfam family "Bacterial small subunit ribosomal RNA", at positions 29 to 507 of the family's 1533-position model. The record is from RNAcentral.